Molecule: long non-coding RNA, 3746 nt
Organism: Biomphalaria glabrata
Lineage: Eukaryota; Metazoa; Mollusca; Gastropoda; Planorbidae
Exons: 4
Source: RefSeq, a predicted model, not a curated record
UUUCAGUUGUUCUUAAUGUGUUAGCAGGGAGUUACCUCUCUUAACAGAUCAUAAAGACAGAGUUUCGAUCCAGAUUCAGUUUCUUGAGCUGCCAUUUUGUAUCAUCGGGCUGCACAGAUGACCAGAUAUUUUCAUGGCUUCUGUAUUCCUUAACAAUAACGAAACAUGGUCUUUUGGUAGAUAUACAUGUUAAUAAACAAUAUUUAUGUGUGUGUGUGUGUUUGUGUGUGUGGAUACAUUAUAUCGUCACUUCUUAUCAGUGACGCUUAUUUGUAUGUAGUCUGCACUUGAGUACAUCAACAGGCGAUACUUAACUAUUGAGUUUAGGUGUGUGAUAGUAGGCUGGACUUGCUUGAUGAGCGCUGCACUUCAAGGACAUCUGGAUGUUGCCGAGGAGCUGGUGGCUAACAAAAUUGAUGUUAACGCUAAAACGACUUCUGGCUUAACUGCAUUAAUGAUAGCGUCAGAAAAUGGACAUAUUCAGCUUUUAAAAUAUUUGCUGAGUAAAAAUGCUGAUAUCAAUGCUAAAACUGUUGGUGCUUCGGGGCUCCCCUACAGGAAAGUUAUUAUAAAGAAAGUUGAGGGUCCAGGUGUGCAUUUCUCGCUCUGGAACAGUCACAUCAGUCUAAGUACACCCCCCACAAUUCAAGCUUACAUCGGAACAGUCACAUCAGUCUAAGUACAGCCCACACAAUUCAAGCUUACAUCGGAACAGUCACAUCAGUCUAAGUACAGCCCACACAAUUCAAGCUUACAUCGGAACAGUAGGAACAUGCAUCGUUGGAGAUACUGGUUCUUAGAAGGAAACGACACAGUCAUUAUAAAUUAUACAACUUUUAAAUGUAAACUAAAUACCACGUACUUUUUAGUUUGAGUUAUUCAAAAAAAGAUUUAAAAAACUAUGACUUUUCUCCCUUCCUUUCGGACAGGGGCGGACUGGGUAUCAAAAUUGGCCCUGGCAUUACCAUAUAAACCGGCCCACAAAUGGCUUGUCAUAUAUUUUCGGUGUGGGGUGUGUGUGUGUGUGUGUGUAUUUUUACCCCACUCCGCAAUUUAUAUAUAUAUAGUGUGUAUAUAUAGUGUGUGUGUAUAUGUAAUUAAUCUUCAUUACAUUCUGAUCUUUCAUUCUUUCAAACGUUUUUUCUACCUAGAAUACUCUCUUCCUAUAAUUAGUGAAAAGGCAGUACACACCGCCAAAGGGCAGUACGGGUGAGCGCUGUGAGCUCCUCCUCCCCCCCCCCCCCUUUUCCAGUGGGGCACCAAGCAUUAUUUCCGUUAUUUUAAGCUUUAAAAAUGCAUAUUCUGAGGUAUCUACAGUGCAAUUAGCCUGCUACUCUUCCGGUAAAAAAAUUCAAAAACCAAAUCUGCUAUUCAAUGGAGUCCAGCGACUGGUUGAAAAUGGUAACUAUGGUUUUGCUAUAGCUUUUGUAUUGGAAAGGGAAGGGAAACCACAAAACCCCUUUUGGUUACGCCCAUGAAAUUUGGUGACUGUAGUUUGCUUAAGUUGGCUGCAGUGGGGUUGUAAGUAAAGUUUCCCUUUCAGACAAUGAGGUCUGAGGCAGGUGAUGGUUUGAAGACCCUCCCCUCCCGGCUACGCCCAUGUGUUAUAUUAUAGGUGUAAGCCUAAUUCUCUACAAAAUAUACAAAGUUUAAUCUGUGGCAUUUACGUCUCGAGAGACGAUCUUUUCCCUUUGCAACUUCUUGUGUGACUAAAGAGGCCAAUCCUUGAUACACAGCUGCGAUCGCAGGUUGGGCAUAUAUAAUCACCAGGCGCCGUUGCAUUUUCACCCUUCUUUCUGCUUCUGUUGUGUAUGACAUCUGCAGCCUGUGACCCUUCCUUUAUGCUCUCUCUCCAUGUGGAUCUGUCCAGUGCCACCUCUUCCCAGUUGCCAGUGUCAAUUUGAAGAGCUUCAUGUCGCGUUUGCAUACAUCCGUAUAACGUAAAAGUGGGCGACCAGCGGCUCUCCUGCCUUCUAUUAGAUCGCCAUACAGAAUGUUUAAUAAGGCAGCGAAAACUGGAUGUAUGCAUUCGUAGAAUUACAUAAUGUAUUUUAUUUGUACACUAGACAUAUGUUACCCGCUACCCGCGGGUCUUUAUUUGCGCAUUACUGUCGAUAUAGUCACUGAGAGUGUUUUGUAAACAAAUAAACGAAAUAAUAAUGUAAUAAGUAAAGCGAAUGUGUCAAUGUAAAAAUAGUGUGAAUAAUGCUAUCAAAUCAAAAUAGCUAAUAGGCUUAAAUCCAUUUUUUUAAAAUUAAAACAUUUCUUUUAAAUAAUCUAGUGGAUUGGAUUUAGAUGUAUGUUAAACGUAGCUAAUGAUCCUUUCACGUUAUUUCAGUUUCGCUACGAAAAUAAAAUUAGUUUUGCGAAAAUGGUUUACCCAAAGUCGAUACAUUCAUAUCUAUUAAAAACGAAAAGAGCGAUAGCUUUGUUAAAUAAAUGGGAUUAUAAAGUGAACAAUUAAACGAAAUAAUUUUUAGUACGCGAUUCAUGAAUGAACAUAGAUCUAGGCCUAUCUCAACUCGGCUUCGCAGCUUUAGUAAACGAAUGUAACUUUAGAAAACCAAUUUUGAAUGUUUAUUUGAUCAAAAUAUGAAAUGAAUGGACUUUAAUUAAUAUAUUUAUGUGUUAAAGUAUUAAACUAUCUGUGCGAAGAGAAGUUUUAUCAUCUUAGAGUUGGAUUAGAGUUUUAGAUCUAGGGAUGGGAUUAUAAAGUAAACAAUUAAACGAAAUAAUUUUUAGUACGCGAUUCAUGAAUGAAUAUAGAUCUAGGCCUAUCUCAACUCGUCUUCGCAGCUUUCGUAAACGAAUGUAACUUUAGAAAACCAAUUUUGAAUGUUUAUUUGAUCAAAAUAUGAAAUGAAUGGACUUUAAUUAAUAUAUUUAUGUGUUAAAGUAUUAAACUAUCUGUGCGAAGAGAAGUUUUAUCAUCUUAGAGUUGGAUUAGAGUUUUAGAUCUAGGGAUGGGAUUAUAAAGUAAACAAUUAAACGAAAUAAUUUUUAGUACGCGAUUCAUGAAUGAAUAUAGAUCUAGGCCUAUCUCAACUCGUCUUCGCAGCUUUCGUAAACGAAUGUAACUUUAGAAAACCAAUUUUGAAUGUUUAUUUGAUCAAAAUAUGAAAUGAAUGGACUUUAAUUAAUAUAUUUAUGUGUUAAAGUAUUAAACUAUCUGUGCGAAGAGAAGUUUUAUCAUCUUAGAGUUGGAUUAGAGUUUUAGAUCUAGGGAUGGGAUUAUAAAGUAAACAAUUAAACGAAAUAAUUUUUAGUACGCGAUUCACUACGGAAUUGUCUAAUGAAAGAAUGUUCGUCAGGAAAUCUGUAAUCACAGAUAUAAGGAACUAAUUAAUGUAAAAAAUGCUUUUGAAACACAAAAUUGAAGGUUAAUUUUAUUAUAUAAUGAAAUUAUUGGAUCUUCUUUUGUAUUUUCAUGUGUCAAAGUAAAAAACUAUCUGCGCAAAGUGUAUUUCUUAAAAUUAGAUCUAGGUCUAAAUCCUUUCUAUCUUUUCUCAUGUCAACAUUGUAGACAUGGCCUAGAUCCAUAAAAUACUAUAGCUGUAAUAGAGUCGGACAACUUUAUUUUUUUUGAGGGUCUUACAUUUGUUUUAGGGCUACAAUACAUUCACUAAGGUCUAAGUUGGUACCCAAGGAACAUUCCUGCCUAGUUUUAUCAAGAUUGGUCAAGCGGUUUUGAUGUCUAUAAGUAACAUACAUACAUACAUACCCCUCACAUUCUACUUUAUAAUAUA